UCGACCAUAGGAUAUGGAAAGCAGGGCUUCCCGUUCGCUCAGCCAUACUUAAGCCAUAUGCCGGCCAGUUAGUACUACCGUGGGUGACCAGGUGGGAAUCCUGGCUGUUGAUUGUU
This 116-nucleotide ribosomal RNA is filed under the name Cladophialophora immunda. The record is from RNAcentral. Lineage: Eukaryota; Fungi; Ascomycota; Eurotiomycetes; Chaetothyriales; Herpotrichiellaceae.